UUACUUAAAGCUAUCUGGGGGAAGGACUAUUACAUGCAGUGGGCACAGUCCCACCUUCCAUCCCUGCCCCCAUCUGCCUGUGUGCUUCGCUUGGUCUAUACUGUGGAAAUGAUGCACCUUCUGGGGUAUGCCAAGAGACUGUAACAUAACACUCUUGGCAAUUCUCACACCUGAUAGGAAAAGGAAAAACACAACAAAACAAAAAAUACUUCAUCAUAGCAAAAGAUAGUACCUGGUCCCUCUACGUAAGAUUUAUAUUCUGUGCCUCUCCUGGGCAGCUAAAUACCUGUGGAUUUCUCAACUCAAUAAACUUGGCACCAUUACUUGGUGCCAAGAUAAUUUUUGUUCCCUCACAAGAGUGUAGUAGUUACUGGCCUCUUCCCGUGUCCUACCUUCUGACGUCAAAGGUUAAACAAGCAGAAACGAUACAAUGGCCACACACACAACUCUGUUUUCUUCUGGGCCUGACCCAG
RNAcentral lists this long non-coding RNA (473 nucleotides) under Homo sapiens (human). RNAcentral describes it as "non-protein coding lnc-IDNK-6:1". Lineage: Eukaryota; Metazoa; Chordata; Mammalia; Primates; Hominidae. The record is from RNAcentral.